This 492-nucleotide ribosomal RNA is filed under the name uncultured bacterium. RNAcentral describes it as "partial 16S ribosomal RNA". It matches the Rfam family "Bacterial small subunit ribosomal RNA", at positions 29 to 507 of the family's 1533-position model. The record is from RNAcentral.
AGUGAACGCUGGCGGUAGGCCUAACACAUGCAAGUCGAACGGCAGCACAGUAAGAGCUUGCUCUUACGGGUGGCGAGUGGCGGACGGGUGAGGAAUACAUCGGAAUCUACUUUUUCGGGGGGGAUAACGUAGGGAAACUUACGCUAAUAUCGCAUACGACCUACGGGUGAAAGCAGGGGAUCUUCGGACCUUGCGCGAUUGAAUGAGCCGAUGUCGGAUUAGCUAGUUGGCGGGGUAAAGGCCCACCAAGGGGACGAUCCGUAGCUGGUCUGAGAGGAUGAUCAGCCACACUGGAACUGAGACACGGUCCAGACUCCUACGGGAGGCAGCAGUGGGGAAUAUUGGACAAUGGGCGCAAGCCUGAUCCAGCCAUACCGCGUGGGUGAAGAAGGCCUUCGGGUUGUAAAGCCCUUUUGUUGGGAAAGAAAAGCAGCAGGUUAAUACCCCGCUGUUCUGACGGUACCCAAAGAAUAAGCACCGGCUAACUUCGUG